UACGUAGGUGGCGAGCGUUGUCCGGAUUUACUGGGCGUAAAGGGAGCGUAGGCGGACUUUUAAGUGAGAUGUGAAAUACACGGGCUCAACUUGGGUGCUGCAUUUCAAACUGGAAGUCUAGAGUGCAGGAGAGGAGAAUGGAAUUCCUAGUGUAGCGGUGAAAUGCGUAGAGAUUAGGAAGAACACCAGUGGCGAAGGCGAUUCUCUGGACAGUAACUGACGCUGAGGCUCGAAAGCGUGGGGAGCAAACAGG
This 253-nucleotide ribosomal RNA is filed under the name uncultured bacterium. Its description in RNAcentral is "partial 16S ribosomal RNA". It matches the Rfam family "Bacterial small subunit ribosomal RNA", at positions 524 to 776 of the family's 1533-position model. The record is from RNAcentral.